RNAcentral lists this ribosomal RNA (524 nucleotides) under uncultured bacterium. RNAcentral describes it as "bacterial SSU rRNA". It matches the Rfam family "Bacterial small subunit ribosomal RNA", at positions 777 to 1300 of the family's 1533-position model. The record is from RNAcentral.
AAUAGAUACCCGGUAGUCCACGCCGUAAACGAUGAGUGCUAAGUGUUAGAGGGUUUCCGCCCUUUAGUGCUGCAGCUAACGCAUUAAGCACUCCGCCUGGGGAGUACGGCCGCAAGGCUGAAACUCAAAGGAAUUGACGGGGGCCCGCACAAGCGGUGGAGCAUGUGGUUUAAUUCGAAGCAACGCGAAGAACCUUACCAGGUCUUGACAUCCUCUGCCAACCCUAGAGAUAGGGCGUUCCCCUUCGGGGGACAGAGUGACAGGUGGUGCAUGGUUGUCGUCAGCUCGUGUCGUGAGAUGUUGGAUUAAGUCCCGCAACGAGCGCAACCCUUGAUCUUAGUUGCCAGCAUUCAGUUGGGCACUCUAAGGUGACUGCCGAUGACAAACCGGAGGAAGGUGGGGAUGACGUCAAAUCAUCAUGCCCCUUAUGACCUGGGCUACACACGUGCUACAAUGGAUGGUACAAAGAGCUGCGAACCCGCGAGGGUAAGCCAAUCUCAUAAAGCCAUUCUCAGUUCGGAUUG